GUGUUUAGAUGCUGGGAACCGUGGGGGGAGGCAAGACGACUCGAGACAAGUUGCAAUCGAGGUAUCUUCGCUCCGGCUUCCUCCUUCUGCCCCGAGACCCCCUCCCCCGUGGUGCUGAGCUAGGGAGGGGAAACCAGGAUUUUAACCAAAUUAGCAUUCACAUUCCUGGGAGGAUGUAGCCCUCGCCUGGACCUGGGUGAUAGAAGCUUUUUGCUCUGUUUUUAUUUUUGGAGAGGAGCGCCCUGUAAUUGUCCUAAACACAUGCUUCUCUCUCCACCACCCCCCCCCCUUCUUCCUCCAGCCACCGACGGAGGAGAGAGUCCCCCUUUUUUGCAUUUAUCUUUUCCUUCCCCUUUCUUUAUUAAAGGUCCGGGAGUGGCGGCGCCCAAUCAGCGCGCGGCUUCCAUUUUGUGAGUUCAACUCCGAGGCUCCCGGGCUUCGCGAGGACGCAUUUGCAGCCCCCUCUGCCUGUCCUCUCGGGCGGCCGAGGCGAAGGAGCCGCCUUUCUGGGGCUUCGUGGUGGUGUAUUUCAUAUUGGGGCUCUUUUCGGGGUUUGUAAUUUGGCCGUGGGUAGGUAAUUGGCUGGAGCAGGGCGGCAGGGCGCGGCAGCCAAUCAGCGCGCGGCUUCUAUAGGGCUUGAGUUAUUAGACGCUGAUCUCAAAACAUCGUUCAUCAGACACCAAGGAGAGGCCAACAGAUGAGGGGAGCCAUUUUUCUGCAAUGGAAUUAAAUGGCCAAGUGGGUUUUUCCUUUGUUGCAAAUGGGGAAUGCUUUUCCUUUGACUCCACCAUCCAGUUCAGGACGCCUCAGUGUUGUGUUUAACAUUUGUCAACAGGCUAAAGGACUCACAAUUGGAAGAAUGAAGAAGACUUUUUAAAAAGAUCUGGAUUUUUCCUUAUGACUUGGAAUCCAUCUUUGUCUUGUAUAACUAGGUCAUAGCACACCAUUAAUGUCAGCAGUUAACAAUUUUGAAUUCCAAAAAACCUAAAGCAGUAAACAGUCCUCAGCGAAGCCGCCUUUUGCCAACCCAACCCUGGAAAGUUUGCAGAAGUGGAAGGAGCAGAAAAUGCCAUGAGAGUGUAACUUACAAAAAGGCUCUUGGCUGGAGAAAGGGCGACGGCCAGGUAUCCCCAGAGUGAACCAUCCUCCUCUGGACAGCAGGAUCAGGCCUAAUUUCACUCUGACAAUACUCUAAGAUGUGUGGGACUGUUGUGUGUGAAAUCGGCUGCCUGCUGGGCCUGCUUGGUCCAUCCAUCCCCGCCUGUCAGCUUCUGUUGUCAAGAGUUUGGGGCGUGCAAUUCUCUGCAGUUGAGCAGCAUAGGAGAGGCUGAACUUGCAAGUAUUUCCCAGUUGUGUGUUUUGGGGUGGGCGGGGUAGGGCCAUGGAUGCCUCUUCCGAAAGGUAGUCUGUUGCCAGGAAGCUCAGCCCUGCUCUGGCCCUCCCUUCCGGCCCUAGUGGGGGCAUGUGGGGUGACCGUGAGCUGGUCUCUUCCCCUCUGAUGUCUGGCUGCUACAGAGGUGAACACAAGUACUUGAGAUCUGGGCCAGCUUCCUCGGAGAAAGAGGCUUCUGGACUCUUCUCCCCCUUCUUGGGCAUUCCCACGAUUUUCUGCACCCCCCCCAGGCCCCCCCCC
Molecule: long non-coding RNA, 1633 nt
Organism: Neofelis nebulosa (Clouded leopard)
Lineage: Eukaryota; Metazoa; Chordata; Mammalia; Carnivora; Felidae
Exons: 4
Source: RefSeq, a predicted model, not a curated record